RNAcentral lists this long non-coding RNA (240 nucleotides) under Capsicum annuum. RNAcentral describes it as "long non-coding RNA (CANN_LNC003162)". The record is from RNAcentral. Lineage: Eukaryota; Viridiplantae; Streptophyta; Magnoliopsida; Solanales; Solanaceae.
UUUUUGAGUUGGUGGAGUCUAAUAUAUCUCUUUCCUUAGCUAUUUCCCUUCAAAUGUCUCCACAAAGUUUAAAAAUAGGAAUGAAGAACCAAUGUCGAUGCUUGAUCGUAUAACGCUUUCGUAACAUAUUUUUAUCAGUGUCCAUACCGUCGCCUGAUUCCAUAUUGCUUCAGCGAUUACCAGAAGUCCAAAUCCAGACCUGAUAGCUUCCAAUAAAACUAUCCAAUUGAUGUAGUAACC